This 245-nucleotide long non-coding RNA is filed under the name Mytilus galloprovincialis (Mediterranean mussel). Lineage: Eukaryota; Metazoa; Mollusca; Bivalvia; Mytilida; Mytilidae. The record is from RNAcentral.
AUUUAUAUUUAUAUGUUUAAAAAUACGUCUUCGUGACAGACGCAACUACUUAUUCAUAUAGCUGACUAAAUUUCCUCAAAUUUAAGGCUCUUUCACAACAUAAGCAAAGUACAAUGUACAUAUAAUAUCUGGAUUUUCUUAUAUCAUACACAGUGAAGCGUUUCCAAUGAUAGUUCAGGCAAUUUAUUUUAUCUGUUUACAUGCAUCUCGUAGCGUUAAGCUGGUGUCACACAUUCACGAUUUUU